UAUACACAUCUCCCAUCAAAGCUUUGUCGAAUCAAAAGUUUCGCGAUUUUAAGAAGGAGUUUGAGAGUGUUGGGCUCAUCACUGGUGAUAUUCAAAUUAACGCCGACGCUAACUGUCUUGUUAUGACGACGGAGAUUCUGAGGUCCAUGUUGUACCGCGGUUCCAGACUGAUUCGAGACACCGAGUGGGUCAUAUUUGAUGAAGUCCAUUAUGUCAAUGACGCUGAGGUGGGUAAUAUUUACUAUUGAUAGACACCUUAAGUUGACAUUUACGACAGAUGGACAGACGAUUAACGAUUUUUCUAUAGCGCAAAUUUCCAUGUGGAUGUGAUCAAAUACGCUUUACAUCAAGUAUUACGCUUACCUAAGUACUUACUUAGCCUAGAUUAUUUUAUCUUUACAACAAUUGUGAUAUUACUGUGUUUACCAUAACUCACCCUGUCAACUUUCCCUGUGGGAGGAAACUGGAGCGCCCAGAGAAAACCCACAACUUUCGGAAGAGCGUUGACUGACUCUUUUCACAUGAGUUCGUAGCGAGAAUCGAACCCAGGACCUCAGAGGUGAAAGGCGCUUACUCUGACCACUGCGCCACCGAAGCUCCACUUCAAAGGUCAAACAGCAAACUUCAAAGGUCUACACGUUUCCGACAGCUAAGUAGCUACUUCACAAUUUUAAUGCACAAAUUCCCCUAACUUCGAACAGUUAACAGUUGAUCUCAAAAUACAAUUUAAAGGUCUCUGAUCUCCAAUAUCCGCUAACAUCUUAAACCUGCUACCCGUGAUUCCCAAUUGUAUUUUGCUAAAUCUGAUUUGUUUCGUAUUUCUCAGCGAGGCGUGGUUUGGGAAGAAGCCCUGAUUUUGUUACCAGAGCAUAUUGGUAUAAUCAUGUUAUCUGCCACUGUUCCUAAUGCCAAGGAAUUCGCUGGAUGGGUGGGGUAAGGUGAUGUUAUUUAUUGCAGGGUUUUUAAUAUAGAUUUACCCCCCGCUUGCUGGGGCAGGGGAGCUAGUAAAUAGAAAGCUUCAGAGUACUUAUAUAUAUAUACAUAUAUAAGCGCCCUGGAAGGCUUAUUCAAUUUGCCGAAAGUUUUAUUUAUUAACUUUACAAGCAUACAAAAAAGUACUUUGAAAUUGUUACAAUUAAACCUUUUUUAACAAAACUGAGCAACACUUAAUUUAAAUAUGGUUCAAAGCCUCGUCAACAGGACAUGAGUGAAAACCAACCUGAAAAUAUUGAUAUUGACAGGGAUGUUGAUUUCGUGCUUACUGAGCAUGGGAACGAGUUUAAUAGAGGAAUUGUGGUAACGAAAUUAUCCCUUAAUCUUGUGUAGGCGAAUUAAGAGGAAGAAUAUCUACGUUAUCAGCACCUCUAAACGUCCGGUACCUCUAGAGUAUUUUCUCUACACUGGGAACAGCGCUAAGACUGCCGAUGAAAUGUUUCCAAUUGUGGAUAGAAAAGGGAAAUUUCUGCCAGCAGGACACAGGAGAGCUGUGGAGGCGAAGAGCCAGAGAUCGAAGUCCAAAGAUCACUAUGGCGCGAGGGGAGCACGCCAGAAUACGAAUCCAAAUGAGGUCUGUGAAGGAACGCGUUAAAGUUGAAUCUAUACACGUAAAAACGCACAAGUUGUAACAAACCUGCAGCAGACUUGCAAUGCUGUUCCAACAACUUGUCAACAGGAUGUGUUCGCACUGCUUGUUCCCAGCUUGUUGACAAGUUGUUAACGGCUUGUUGACAACUUGCGACAAGGUUGUUGAGCUCAACAGAUUUGCUGCAAGUUGUUCCAACAACUUGUUAUCGUCCCGCAAUUCAACAAUUUGUCACUAAGUUGUGAGUGACAACCUUAUAGCAACUUGGUAAAAUAACAACAUUGUUACAACUUGUAAACAAGCUUGCUACAAGCCUGUUGCGAACACAUCUUGUUGACAAGUUGUGAGAUUUUUACGUGUGUAGUUAAAGGGUCAAGAUUGAAAAUGCUAAUCAUUGAAUUGCGAAGGUCGUGGCCGAGUGAAGGACUUCAAAUUAUAUCUGACCAUUGAAACUUUGUGUUUAGGAAAGAAACAUUUGGAUUUCCCUAAUUCGAAAACUUGAAAAGGACGAAGGACUCCCAGUUGUGGCGUUUACGUUUUCAAGAAAGGGAUGUAACGAGAAUGCUGAUAAGUUGACCAACUUGGAUUUAACAACGCGCAAGCAAAAAUCUGAAAUUCAUAUCUUUAUUCGGAAAUGCAUUUCACGAUUGAAAGAUCGGGAUAGACAAUUACCCCAGGUAAACUUACGGGAGUGUUAGUGGUACAGUACAUAUGUCUUUCAUAUAUGUCUUUCAAAAUAAACGCCUGAUCGCAGGUUAUUCACCUCUCUGAUAGGCCUUCGAUUCUUGCAAUAUACAGUUUUUGAAUUAUAAUUUUGUCUCUGUCGCAUGUGAGAAGAGUGCUUCCAGUUUUACAUUUUCCCGAAUACUUUUGUUUCUUCCUGUAUGAAGACUGAUCCAAGAGGUGACCCUUACUGGGCUUCCUGGAAGAAGCGUUUAACUGUCUUUGCCAGAGCAGGUCGUGCCAAUCAAAUGAACAAUCUUUCGUUGCUAGGGAUGCAACUACCUGAAAAUAUAUAUAAGGAGAAUUUCGGGCCCUUCGUCUGGAGAUACCAGACAAGGAUAGAAACUCCAGACGAAGGGCCUUCGCUUGAAACGUCCAAAUUCUCUUAUAUAUUUUCAGGUAGUUGCAUCCCUAACAACGAAAGAUUGUUCAUUUAGAACCAACAGACUUUUAUGCAGUAUUAAAAAAUACUUUGUUUGGGAUUCCUCCUGUGGUGACACUGGACUAAGAAACUAAAACAUGCAAUUCCAUUUACUGUAGGUGAAGAAAAUGCAAGAAAAACUGAAGCGUGGUUUAGCUGUACAUCACAGUGGUAUAUUACCAAUUUUAAGAGAGGUGAGACUCGCCGAUGUGAGACAAUGCUCAAUCAAUUACAUUACGUUUAGCGAAAAACUAAUUGUGUGAAAUAUUUUGUAGAUGGUUGAGAUCUUAUUUCAACGUGGAUUGGUCAAGGUAAACGAUUUUUAUUAGCACCUCUUGACAACCAUCAAUGUAUGGCGCUAAUGCUCUCUCGACAAGCACGGGGGAUCCCCCCCCCCCUUACUGGUCAAUUAAGCCUUCUGUAUGUAGGUCGAGGGUUGGGUAUUACUCUGUACAGACUUGAUAUGCUUGAAAAUUUGACAGUAGGGUUGUUCUUCCAGGGGGUUUCUCCGCUUACUCCGGUUUUCCUCCCUCGCUAACACCAACCCUGGGGCCUUAGUUAUCGAGCGUAUCAUAAAUUUCUGCCUGGGUGAAUUGGGUAGCCAUAUCGAACUUUCAAGAUAUUUUUAUCAUAUGUCAACUUUCAGGUACUUUUUGCAACGGAGACAAUUGCAAUGGGUGUUAACAUGCCUGCAAGGACAGUUGUCUUUGAUUCAUUUCUUAAACAUGAUGGAGUAAGUAAAAGGGAAUUGCUGCCUGAGGAGUUUAUACAGAUGGCAGGCCGAGCAGGCAGACGAAGACUGGACGACAUUGGUACUGUCAUAAUGUUAUGCAAAGGUGAUGUACCGGAAAUCUCUGCUGUCGAAAAAAUGAUGAUGGUAAGCCGCUGACCUUGGACUGAAUAAUGCAUUUGGUAUGCAUGAUUAUAUGGCCACCAUAUUGGGCCAAAUAAAAAUAAUAGUUGGUUUCAGGUUUCCGACCGACCUGUCAAAAAUAUGACCGACCAUAAACAUUUUAUUGACAUAGGGAUCAUCUUUUCGUAAAUAUCAGAAUAUAUAAAUAGUCAUCAGACUCAUUUGCUACAAAGUAUUUUGUUUGCUCAUAAUUUAAUCAUUAUCUAGUCAUGUUAAUCCUUGAUGCAUUUGUUUCUCGCAAAACAUGUGUAGCUCGCGGUUGAUCCCAUGUGGCACGUCUGAUUAUGCGUGACAGUUACUCAUAAACAACUUAUAUUUAUUGCAUACUUGAGAUAAGAUUUUUUUUUAAAUAAAAUGCUUUUCCGACCUACCUACCCAUAUAAAACAUGGCUGUGAAACCUGAAACCAACUAUUAUUUUUAUUUGGCCUUGGAAUGACCACAAUAAAAUGCCAGCUAGUGCAAUUAUUAUUUUUAUUAAUAACAUCAUUACUAUAAUUAUAAUCAUAAUAUUUGUUGUUGUUGUUGCUGUUGCUGUUGUUGCUGUUGCUGUUGCUGUUGCUGUUGCUGUUGUUGUUGUUGUUGCUGUUGUUGUUGCUGCAAAUGAUUAAUACUGUUAUCAUUGACUUGGUAGGGAAAACCGACGCCACUAGAAUCCAGGUUCCGUUUAACGUACUCCAUGAUGCUAAAUCUUCUUCGCUCAGACGACCUGUCUGUCGAGGACAUGAUGAAACGUAGUUUUGAUGAAUUCUACUUGUUGAAGAAAGCACCAGAACGAGAAAGAAUGAUCUCAAAACUCACUGAAGAACUUGAACAAGUAGAGAAACUAUGUUGUGAAAAGUGUUCGCUUGAUGUGGAAGAUUACUAUGACAUCGCUAAAGAAUUAACGACACUAUACAAACCUCUGCAGGUUAGAUAUGCUCUGCUGCGUUGGUGGUAUAGUGUUUAGCUCUUUUCUCUUUCACUUGUGUGACCGGAUUAAAUUCCUGCAAUAUGCAGUUGUCUGAUUAUAAUUUCGUCACAUUUGAGAAGAGCGCUCCCAGUUUUCCUAAUAAAAGUACGUUUAGUUUAGGUUUCCCUCCUGUAGUAACACUGAACACAAUACGAGUGACGGCUCUCACUCGACUUCUAGGAAGAACAGUUAAGAACUGAUAGAGCUAUCCAGUAUAAAUAAAGUUAGUUUAGUUUAGGUUUCUUCCUGUAGUAACACUGGAUCAAUAAGAGACAAUCCUUAUUGGACCUCUAGGAAGAACAGUUAAGAACUGAUAGAGCUAUCCAGUAUAAAUAAAGUUAGUUUAGUUUAGGUUUCUUCCUGUAGUAACACUGGAUCAAUAGAGAAUGACCCCAACAGUUCUGAACUAAUAGAGCUACCCUGUACAGAUGUACUUCUAAUUUGUUGCCAUGAGGUCCAGUAAGGGCCAUCCUUACAACUGGAGGAAACUUGAGUAUAACAGUCCGUGUUUGGUAAUUUGGUAGUCAAAUUAGAAGCACUCUUCUUGCCAGAUAGACUUUCCCUCGCUAUAUAUGUGUUGCUAUUUUUUUGUAGUUAACCAUGGUGUCUUCGCCAAGUGGACAAAAAUCACUAACGUCUGGUCGUAUAGUUAUUAUAACGAACAAACAAUUCCUAACUCGAUAUGGAAUGAUUCUGGGCAAGAAAUCACAAUUCUCAUCUCUGGAUUCAAAACACGGGAAGAAAUCAUAUACUGUACUGCUAGCUUGCGAUCACAACGAAGUAAUUUGGAACGAGGAACAAGUACCAAUGGUCGAUGAGGAUUCUGAAGUGAUCGUUGAGCCUUACGCAUGCAGUAUUGAAGUAUAUUGUCCCCAGAGACCGUCUACACACACGAUAGUUGAAAUACGAGAAGAGGAAAUUGUCGUUAUUACUAGUCAAGUGAAACCGAAUUUGAACAGUGAAGCGAUGAUCAAUGAUUUUAACAAAAGAAAACAGCCACGCUUUAGGUGUGUAAUUAGGUUAUCAAAGCUAGAAGCUGCGACAAUCCCCCCCCCCCCCCCCCAGUAUACUUUCAGUUGUACAAUUGUGAACACCAUUGUAACUUUAGUUAGUCUGCUGAUGAUUUCAAAGGUAGGAGGUAGUGAUAGUUCCUUGAACUUGUGUGAUCAUUCUACUAACUUCCAGAAGAAUUUCCUUCGCUCGAAACGUCGAAGUUCUACCCUCAACUUACAGCAGCAGGCUUCAGUACAGUAACUCUAUGGUAAGAGAUAGCAUGCUAACAACACGUGCCACCCAACGUAUAUAACUUUCUUUUUACAGGCAUGAUCCACCGGGAAAAUCCAUCAGCGCUGCGACUGAAGAAUUACUUCGGCUCUCAGAAACAUAUCCACAAGGUUUACCCAUGACAGACCUCCCUAUCAAAAAUUUGGCUUUCCAUGAAAGGAGAACACGUCAGAAAUUCUUGGAAUCUCGAAAUCAAAGUUUUAAUUGUCUACUGUGUGUACAGUUUGAAGAGCAUGUAAGUUCUGACCUUGAUUUCCUAGCCAUCUCUACAAUAUCUAUACCAUCCCAUAUUCUGAUCUCUGAUCAGCUCUCUCUUAUCUCUCCUUGAAAUACUCAUUACUAAUAAAGAUUUGUCCUGAUUUACUUAAACUUCAGCUUUGAUUUUCGUAGCUUAGACGAUGUUUAUUUUUAAAAUUACUUCGCCAAUGAACUUAUAAACUGUGUCUUUAACUUGUUACGUGUCCAUGCUAUCUUACCCUUGCUGUUUAUUAUUUUUUCAGUUCAAGAAAUACAGAAGGGAAAGGAUAUUGAGGGAUAAGAUUGCAAACUUAGAAGAAAAAUCAUCAAUAGAAAAGCUGAGUCUUACUCCUGAAUAUCGAAAUCGUGUGGAGGUAUAUAUUCUGUCAAUUGUUUCUAAUAUAAAUCUCUAACUUAUAUAUACUGAAUUAGUCUAUCAGUUCUAAACUGUUCUUGCUAAAGGUCUAGUAAGGACCAUCUCUUAUUGGUCUAGUGUCACUACAUGCAGGAGGAUACCGAAGUACCCUGGGUAGAAUAAAACGUAGUAGGUGUUUGGUAGAAUAAAACUCGAAGCACUUAAAAUUACAACAGGACAAGUGCAUAUUACAGGAUUCAAACCCCAAUCACAGAAAUGAAAGAUAGAAGAACUAACACUUUUCCACCACUGUUGUAGUAAAUCUUUAUCUGUUUUUCUAGGUUUUAGUUGAACUUGGUUAUUUAAACAAGAGCAAAGAGACUGAAAUGAAAGGCCGUGUCGCGUGCGAGAUAAGCAGUCAUGAAGUUCUUAUAUCUCAUCUACUCUAUCAUAAAUUUUUCAACGAUUUCGAUCCUGCUGAAGUUGUUGCUCUUCUCUCGUGUUUUGUCUUCGAACAGGUAGUUCUCCUAUUUAGUUUCCUGUGGUAAAACAGCAUCUUCACUAAAAAUAUAUACAUGGCUUGGGUCAACCCUUAGUCCAUCUCGGGUCCGUAUAGUGUAAACACAAUUGCAUUUUUACUUCAACUUGCUUACAGUAAAUCAAUUUGUUUUUAUUUAGAAAUCACACAGUUUACCAACGUUAACUGAAAAACUCAAAGAAGUAUGUCAUUUACUACCAAAUUAGUCUGACGAUGAGUUUGUAAUAAUCUUCAAAUAUUCAUGUUCAAUCUUGUUUUCCUCUGAUAUUGAGUUUCAUGAUGAGUGUUCCAUCCUUUAUUUUCUUCAAUGCCUUUCAUGUUACGCUUGUAGGGAAAAGAAAGAAUUUUAGUCACUGCCAGAGAAAUUGCUAACAUAGAGAAAAAACACGGAAUGGAUACGUCGUGUGAAGAGUUUGUGCAGCAAUUUAAAUUUGAUUUGAUUCAAGUUGUGCUUGAAUGGGCGAGAGGAAUGCCUUUUAAUGAAAUCACUGAUCUUACGGAUAUAGAGGAAGGUAAAGUUUCUAGUGUUUUUCUCCAGGUAUCUUCCCUCGCCGAAAACCAACCCUUCCAGCCGUGAUUAUGUGAGAAGAGGGACAGUAUUAAACACUCGAGAUGUCAUCCAACUUUUAUUUCAUUAUUUCAGGCAUACUUGUGAAAUGUAUUCAGCGUUUAAAUGGUUUGUGCUGCGAUGUGAAGAACGCCUCAAAAUGUCUUGGUGUUAAAGACGUCGAAUUAAAAAUGGAGGAGGCUUCAAAUCUGUUCAAACGUGAUAUAGUAUUUGCUGCUAGUCUCUACACUCAAGAGUAAAAAAUGUCAUUGUCUCAAUAAAAAAUUAUGGCGUUUGAGCAACAGUAUCCUAUUUUCAAUUUAUACAAUUAUGUAAAAUAUAACAAAUAGCAUCUUUUCUAUUUCACGCAAUUUUAAAAUGAUCAUUUGCUAGCUUUCAGUUAAGAUAUUUAGUCGGUUGUUAGUAGCUAGUCAGGUCUGUAUCUGGUGAUUUUUUAAUAAUUAUACAUGAUUUAUACGCUUGGACCAUGGUGAUUUGGCAUCAUGAUAGAAAUGUGCAUUGUCUUUUCAUUGUUCUAAAAUCCCACUGUUUACCACAGG
This 8110-nucleotide long non-coding RNA is filed under the name Paramuricea clavata. The record is from RNAcentral. Lineage: Eukaryota; Metazoa; Cnidaria; Anthozoa; Malacalcyonacea; Plexauridae.